This is a non-coding RNA of Mya arenaria, 73 nucleotides long. Lineage: Eukaryota; Metazoa; Mollusca; Bivalvia; Myida; Myidae. The record is from the annotation of a RefSeq genome assembly.
GGUUUCGUAGUGUAGUGGUUAUCACGCUCGCUUCGCACUUGAGAGGUCCUGGGUUCAAGCCCCAGCGGAACCA